AUCAAAUGAAUAAGCAUUCAUCGGAAUUUUUAUGACACGCGUUCAAUUUAAACACCACCAUCAUCACCAUCAUCCUGACUAGUCUUUCAGGCGAUGUGUGCUGGAAGACAUUCAGAUCUUCCAGUGGUGCAUGAACGCAUGAGAAAGCCCCCGGAAGAUCAUCUUCCGGGGGCUUUUUU
RNAcentral lists this small RNA (179 nucleotides) under Salmonella enterica subsp. enterica serovar Typhimurium str. SL1344. RNAcentral's name for it is "STnc700". The stretch from base 58 to 179 matches the Rfam family "Histidine operon leader". From Rfam's summary of the family: At least 6 amino acid operons are known to be regulated by attenuation. In each a leader sequence of 150-200 bp is found upstream of the first gene in the operon. This leader sequence can assume two different secondary structures known as the terminator and the anti-terminator structure. Lineage: Bacteria; Pseudomonadati; Pseudomonadota; Gammaproteobacteria; Enterobacterales; Enterobacteriaceae. The record is from RNAcentral.